CCUACGGGAGGCAGCAGUGAGGAAUAUUGGUCAAUGGGCGAGAGCCUGAACCAGCCAAGUAGCGUGAAGGAUGACUGCCCUACGGGUUGUAAACUUCUUUUAUAUAGGAAUAAAGUUCGGUAUGUAUGCCUUUUUGUAUGUACUAUAUGAAUAAGGAUCGGCUAACUCCGUGCCAGCAGCCGCGGUAAUACGGAGGAUCCGAGCGUUAUCCGGAUUUAUUGGGUUUAAAGGGAGCGUAGAUGGGUGUUUAAGUCAGUUGUGAAAGUUUGCGGCUCAACCGUAAAAUUGCAGUUGAUACUGGCAGUCUUGAGUACAGGUGAGGUAGGCGGAAUUCGUGGUGUAGCGGUGAAAUGCUUAGAUAUCACGAAGAACUCCGAUUGCGAAGGCAGCCUACUAGACUGUAACUGACGUUGAUGCUCGAAAGUGUGGGUAUCAAACAGGAUUAGAUACCCUUGUAGUC
This 460-nucleotide ribosomal RNA is filed under the name uncultured bacterium. Its description in RNAcentral is "partial 16S ribosomal RNA". It matches the Rfam family "Bacterial small subunit ribosomal RNA", at positions 338 to 795 of the family's 1533-position model. The record is from RNAcentral.